This 539-nucleotide ribosomal RNA is filed under the name Alternaria sp. Alc 79. Its description in RNAcentral is "eukaryotic LSU rRNA". The stretch from base 160 to 313 matches the Rfam family "5.8S ribosomal RNA". Lineage: Eukaryota; Fungi; Ascomycota; Dothideomycetes; Pleosporales; Pleosporaceae. The record is from RNAcentral.
UGUAAGAGCGGGCUGGAACCUCUCGGGGUUACAGCCUUGCUGAAUUAUUCACCCUUGUCUUUUGCGUACUUCUUGUUUCCUUGGUGGGUUCGCCCACCACUAGGACAAACAUAAACCUUUUGUAAUUGCAAUCAGCGUCAGUAACAAAUUAAUAAUUACAACUUUCAACAACGGAUCUCUUGGUUCUGGCAUCGAUGAAGAACGCAGCGAAAUGCGAUAAGUAGUGUGAAUUGCAGAAUUCAGUGAAUCAUCGAAUCUUUGAACGCACAUUGCGCCCUUUGGUAUUCCAAAGGGCAUGCCUGUUCGAGCGUCAUUUGUACCCUCAAGCUUUGCUUGGUGUUGGGCGUCUUGUCUCUAGCUUUGCUGGAGACUCGCCUUAAAGUAAUUGGCAGCCGGCCUACUGGUUUCGGAGCGCAGCACAAGUCGCACUCUCUAUCAGCAAAGGUCUAGCAUCCAUUAAGCCUUUUUUUCAACUUUUGACCUCGGAUCAGGUAGGGAUACCCGCUGAACUUAAGCAUAUCAAUAAGCCGGGAGGAGAA